UACAGAGGGUGCGAGCGUUAAUCGGAAUUACUGGGCGUAAAGGGUGCGUAGGCGGUUGAUUAAGUUAGAUGUGAAAUCCCCGGGCUUAACCUGGGAAUUGCAUUUAAUACUGAAUGACUAGAGUAGAGUAGAGGGAAGUGGAAUUUCCGGUGUAGCGGUGAAAUGCGUAGAUAUCGGAAAGAACAUCAGUGGCGAAGGCGGCUUCCUGGACUCAUACUGACGCUGAGGCACGAAAGCAUGGGGAGCAAACAGG
RNAcentral lists this ribosomal RNA (253 nucleotides) under uncultured bacterium. Its description in RNAcentral is "partial 16S ribosomal RNA". It matches the Rfam family "Bacterial small subunit ribosomal RNA", at positions 524 to 776 of the family's 1533-position model. The record is from RNAcentral.